RNAcentral lists this ribosomal RNA (445 nucleotides) under uncultured bacterium. RNAcentral describes it as "bacterial SSU rRNA". It matches the Rfam family "Bacterial small subunit ribosomal RNA", at positions 354 to 796 of the family's 1533-position model. The record is from RNAcentral.
GUAAGGAAUAUUGGGCAAUGGACGCAAGUCUGACCCAGCCAUGCCGCGUGCAGGAUGACAGCCCUACGGGUUGUAAACUGCUUUUGUACGGGAAAAACCCCUCGCUCGUGAGCGGGGCUGAUGGUACCGUAAGAAUAAGGAUCGGCUAACUCCGUGCCAGCAGCCGCGGUAAUACGGAGGAUCCAAGCGUUAUCCGGAUUCAUUGGGUUUAAAGGGUCCGCAGGCGGAUUAAUAAGUCAGGGGUGAAAUCCUACGGCUCAACCGUAGAACUGCCCUUGAUACUGUUAAUCUAGAGUACAGUUGAGGUGGGCGGAAUGUGUCAUGUAGCGGUGAAAUGCAUAGAUAUGACACAGAACACCGAUCGCGAAGGCAGCUCACCAAGCUGUAACUGACGCUCAGGGACGAAAGCGUGGGGAUCAAACAGGAUUAGAAACCCGUGUAGUCC